This 519-nucleotide ribosomal RNA is filed under the name uncultured bacterium. RNAcentral's name for it is "bacterial SSU rRNA". It matches the Rfam family "Bacterial small subunit ribosomal RNA", at positions 25 to 518 of the family's 1533-position model. The record is from RNAcentral.
CAGGACGAACGCUGGCGGCGUGCCUAAUACAUGCAAGUCGAACGGUCUUUCUAUGGAAGCUUGCUUCCACUGAGAAGAUAGUGGCGAACGGGUGAGUAACACGUGGGUAACCUGCCCAUAAGAGGGGGAUAACAUCCGGAAACGGGUGCUAAUACCGCAUAGUUUCUUGAUUGCAUGAUUGAGAAAGGAAAGACGGCCUUUGUGCUGUCGCUUAUGGAUGGACCCGCGGCGUAUUAGUUAGUUGGUGAGGUAACGGCUCACCAAGACGAUGAUACGUAGCCGACCUGAGAGGGUGAUCGGCCACAUUGGGACUGAGACACGGCCCAAACUCCUACGGGAGGCAGCAGUAGGGAAUCUUCCGCAAUGGACGAAAGUCUGACGGAGCAACGCCGCGUGAGUGAAAGAAGGUUUUCGGAUCGUAAAACUCUGUUGUCAGAGAAGAACAAGUUGGAGAGUAACUGCUCCAGCCUUGACGGUAUCUGACCAGAAAGCCACGGCUAACUACGUGCCAGCCGCCGC